AGAAGCGAGGUUGUAGCUGGCCUUCUCGGAGGCAUCGUGCACGCCCUGCCCGUCCCAUAUCAUACCUGUGAACUUUUUGGUAGGCGGGUUUGUGUCGGCCUCGAAAGGGGUCGACCGGCCCUCCGGCCGUCUUUAUAUACACACCAUACGAGUCUUUAGAAUGUUUGUGCGUCUCGACGCAUCUUAUAUAUAACUUUCAGCGACGGAUCUCUUGGCUCUCGCAUCGAUGAAGAACGCAGCGAAACGCGAUAAGUAAUGUGAAUUGCAGAAUUCAGUGAAUCAUCGAAUCUUUGAACGCACCUUGCGCUCCUCGGUAUUCCGAGGAGCAUGCCUGUUUGAGUGUCAUGAAAUUAUCAACCCCUCCUCCUUCAUCGGCGGUGGGGCUUGGACUUGGAGGCUUUGCGGGCUUUUAACGAGUCGGCUCCUCUCAAAUGCAUUAGCUCGAACCCCUGCGGAUCGGCCGUCGGUGUGAUAUAAUGUCUACGUCGUGGUCGUGAGCGUCGGAUCGGCUUCUGAUGGUCCCCUUUCGGAGGCGGAAUUUGAACUUGUGACCUCAAAUCAGGUAGGACUACCCGCUGAACUUAAGCAUAUCAAUAAGCGGAGGAAAAGAAACUAACAAGGAUUCCCCUAGUAACUGCGAGUGAAGCGGGAAGAGCUCAAAUUUAAAAUCUGGCGGCGUCCUCGUCGUCCGAGUUGUAAUCUGGAGAAGCGACAUCCGCGCUGGACCGUGUCAAGU
Molecule: ribosomal RNA, 736 nt
Filed under: Sparassis latifolia
Lineage: Eukaryota; Fungi; Basidiomycota; Agaricomycetes; Polyporales; Sparassidaceae
Description: eukaryotic LSU rRNA
Rfam family: 5.8S ribosomal RNA (bases 192-345)
Source: RNAcentral